Molecule: ribosomal RNA, 305 nt
Filed under: uncultured bacterium
Lineage: Bacteria
Description: bacterial SSU rRNA
Rfam family: Bacterial small subunit ribosomal RNA
Source: RNAcentral
UCCGGCCUACGGGGGGCAGCAGUGGGGAAUAUUGCACAAUGGGGGAAACCCUGAUGCAGCAACGCCGCGUGAGUGAUGACGGCCUUCGGGUUGUAAAGCUCUGUCUUCAGGGACGAUAAUGACGGUACCUGAGGAGGAAGCCACGGCUAACUACGUGCCAGCAGCCGCGGUAAUACGGAGGAUGCGAGCGUUAUCCGGAUUUAUUGGGUUUAAAGGGUGCGUAGGCGGAAUGCCAAGUCAGCGGUAAAAUCGCGGGGCUCAACCUCGCUCCGCCGUUGAAACUGGCGUUCUUGAGUGGGCGAGAA